GCUUUGUGCCUGAAAGGGCGACGGCGCUGAGCCGGAGCGAGAAGUCAGCAGAGGCCAUAGUAGCCGUUGGUUUUGGGCGAAGGGC
This is a non-coding RNA of Thauera sp. 63, 85 nucleotides long. The record is from Rfam. NCBI's taxonomy places the organism in Bacteria, Pseudomonadati, Pseudomonadota, Betaproteobacteria, Rhodocyclales, Zoogloeaceae.